This 301-nucleotide ribosomal RNA is filed under the name uncultured bacterium. Its description in RNAcentral is "partial 16S ribosomal RNA". It matches the Rfam family "Bacterial small subunit ribosomal RNA", at positions 509 to 808 of the family's 1533-position model. The record is from RNAcentral.
CAGCCGCCGCGGGAAAACGGAGGGGGCAAGCGUUAUCCGGAAUUAUUGGGCGUAAAGGGUACGUAGGCGGCCUUUUAAGCGUAGGGUAUAAGGCAAUGGCUCAACCAUUGUCCGCCCUAUGAACUGGAAGGCUUGAGUGCAGGAGAGGAAAGCGGAAUUCCUAGUGUAGCGGUGGAAUGCAUAGAUAUUAGGAGGAACAUCAGCAGCGAAGGCGGCUUUCUGGACUGCAACUGACACUGAGGUACGAAAGCGUGGGGAGCAAACAGGAUUAGAUACCCGGGUAGUCCCUGUCUCUUAUACA